CUCAGUCAGAGCGAGAAAGUGCCGGGGUAGCGGGGCUGCGGCUGCUCCGCCUGAAACUUCUGAGUAACAUCAACAGGGGGAGGGGAGGGCGGGCGGCGGUGGAGGAGGAAGGUGGCGGUGGGGGGAAGGUUAGCCAGCAGCGCAGCCCUAUCCGCCUCUCCCUCAUAAACCAGCCUGUGUUGGGCUGAGCAGGCCCCUCACACAAAGGAGGGCAGGGCAGGCAGGGCUGCCCCCCCUUCCCCCCCGCCUCGGCAGAGGGGCAGCGGGGAGGCGCCCUUCCCCGUGCACAGCACUCACAGCCACUUACUCCUCUCCCGUCCCCCGUCUUCUCUCUCCCCCCCUUCCCCUCACCUCCCCCCACGGUUCUCCCCUCAGCCCCCCGCCCGCUGUCCAUGUAGCCGUCCGGCCGCCGGCCCCUCCGCACUAUGCCCAUCUUACUCUUCCUGAUAGACACGUCCGCCUCCAUGAACCAGCGCACCCAUCUGGGCACCACCUAUCUGGACAUAGCCAAAGGCGCUGUAGAGACUUUCAUGAAGCUCCGAGCCCGGGACCCGGCCAGCAGGGGAGACAGGUACAUGCUGGUCACUUUCGAGGAGCCUCCCUACGCUAUCAAGGCUGGCUGGAAGGAAAACCAUGCAACGUUUAUGAAUGAACUGAAAAACCUUCAAGCUGAAGGACUUACGACUCUUGGCCAGUCCCUAAGGACAGCUUUUGAUUUAUUAAACUUAAAUAGAUUAGUAACUGGCAUAGACAACUAUGGGCAGGGACGAAACCCUUUUUUUCUGGAGCCAGCAAUAAUUAUAACAGUUACUGAUGGAAGUAAAUUAACUACUACCAGUGGGAUACAGGAAGAGCUCCAUUUACCUCUCAAUUCCCCUUUACCUGGAAGUGAGUUGACUAAGGAGCCCUUUCGAUGGGAUCAGAGGUUAUUUGCUUUGGUUCUUCGUUUGCCUGGUAUUACAGCACCAGAAUCAGAACAGAUGACAGGGGUGCCUGUGGAUGACUCUGCUAUCACACCUAUGUGUGAAGUCACAGGAGGUCGGUCAUAUUGUGUGUGCUCUCCAAGAAUGCUGAAUCAAUGUCUUGAGUCAUUGGUGCAAAAAGUGCAAAGUGGAGUGGUAAUAAAUUUUGAAAAAGCUGGACCAGAUCCCUCACCCAUUGAUGAUGGGCAGGUGGAGAUAUCCAGACCCUUUGGACCCCAACCUUGGCACAGCUGUCACAAACUUAUCUAUGUCAGACCAAACCCUAAAACUGGGGUUCCUAUAGGACAUUGGCCUGUUCCUGAGUCCUUUUGGCCAGAUCAAAAUUCUCCAACACUGCCACCUCGCACAUCUCAUCCUGUGGUGAAAUUUUCCUGUACUGACUGUGAACCGAUGGUCAUUGACAAACUGCCUUUUGAUAAAUAUGAAUUAGAACCUUCACCACUGACCCAGUUUAUCCUGGAAAGAAAAUCCCCUCAGACCUGCUGGCAGGUGUAUGUGAGCAAUAGUGCAAAAUACAGUGAACUUGGUCAUCCUUUUGGUUACUUGAAAGCUAGUACAGCGCUGAAUUGUGUGAAUUUAUUUGUGAUGCCUUACAAUUACCCAGUCCUGCUUCCAUUGCUAGAUGACUUGUUUAAAGUACACAAGGCAAAGCCUACGUUGAAAUGGCGUCAGUCAUUUGAAAGCUAUUUGAAGACAAUGCCUCCUUAUUAUCUUGGGCCUUUGAAGAAAGCUGUGAGAAUGAUGGGAGCACCAAACCUUAUAGCUGACAAUGUGGAAUAUGGACUUAGUUACAGUGUCAUUUCAUAUCUCAAAAAGUUGAGUCAGCAGGCCAAAAUAGAGUCCGAUAGAGUCAUUGGCUCUGUAGGCAAAAAGGUAGCGCAAGAGACUGGAAUUAAGGUCAGAAGCAGAUCACACAACCUGUCUAUGGCACAUAGGAACGAUUUUCAACAUCUGCUACAGGGGAUUACUGGGGAAAUUCCUCAUAGACCUCUAGACCUCAAUAUGAAGGAGUAUGCUGGGUUCCAAAUAGCUUUGCUGAAUAAGGAUUUGAAACCUCAGACAUUUAGAAAUGCUUAUGACAUACCCAGAAGAAAUCUUUUGGAUCAGUUAACACGAAUGAGAUCUAAUUUAUUGAAGAGUACUUGCAAGUUCCUCAAAGGACAAGAUGAAGAUCAAGUUCACAGCGUACCUAUAGCACAAAUGGGGAACUACCAGGAAUAUCUAAAACAGAUACCUUCUCCACUCCGAGAACUUGAUCCUGAUCAACCACGAAGGCUUCAUACAUUUGGCAAUCCAUUCAAAUUGGACAAAAAGGGAAUGAUGAUAGAUGAAGCAGAUGAAUUCGUAUCAGGACCUCAAAAUAAACAUAAAAGACCUGGAGAACCAAAUAUGCAAGGGAUUCCAAAAAGGCGACGUUGUAUGUCCCCCCUGCUCAGAGGGCGACCACAAACUCUUCCAGUUGUCAAUAACCACAUUGGAGGGAAAGGGCCCCCAACACCAAUUGCACAAGCACAGCCUGACCUUAUUAAACCCAUUGCCAUUCACAAAACAUCAGAAACAAAUAAUGAAGUUGGAGUUGAUGAUGUCAUUGAGAAUCACAGUACAGGCACCCUUUCAUCGGAUGUUUUCCCAAAUGCUGUGGAUUCAGAGUUUUCACUGUCCUCUUCACCAUUUAAUUCAUUGGAUCGACCAGCAGCUCAUACAGAGGAUAACAUAGGUCAUGAACAUUUAGGGAAUAAUUUGAAUGUUGAUGGGUAUUUGGAGAAUCACGAGGAAUCAAGUAGUAAAGAGCAAAGUCCGGAAGAGAACUUGACAAUGUCUUCACCUAGCAAAGGGAAAAAACCAGUGCACUGCAGGAGUUCCAGAGAGAUUAAUAUAGAGCUAAGAGCACAAAUUAUGAAAGAGAUCCGAAAACCAGGAAGGAAAUAUGAAAGAAUCUUCUUUUUGCUGAAGCAUGUGCAAGGAAGCUUACAAACCCGGCUGAUAUUUUUACAGAAUGUUAUAAAAGAAGCUUCGAGCAUACUUCAUUCAGAGAUAGCGUAGUCCUGUCUGGGACUUUGGAAAUGGAGGUGGCUUUUCUCUGAAGAAGAGUGACUUGAUAAGGAUUUAAACCCUGUGUUUUUCAUCCAGGUAGAAACUGUUCCUUACAGUAUCUUUAGAGUGUCCAUACUUAGCCUUCUACGUGCUUACUGAGAGGAAAAAAGGAGAAAUGUAUUAGAACCAAUAGUGUUUGAGUUGCAGGGAAUGAGUAAUUCCAGGAUCUUGCAAGGAUCGUAAAUAACCAGACCUUUGAGGCUUACUUUGGAAACCUCAAAGAAUAGCUGCUUCUUAUUCUCUAAUCUGUUUUGUAGUAGUCAGCUCUUUUCCUGUGGCAUUAAGCAAAUUUCAUUAUUAAAAAUGAAAUAAUUUUAGGAGAAAACCGUACCUCUCAAGGUAUGCUGGAUGUUGGACAUUCACACAGAUCCUCUGGCCUUCUACUGCCAGCUUGGUGGGGCAUGUAAAUUCAUGUAGAUUGUGCUCUCUUCCUAUAGCAACCAUUGCUGUAUUGUGCUUUUCUUGAUUGUUAUAUUGCCUGUCAGAGUUGUUCCCCAUGUUGCAAAUUAUAAUUCUUCCUCACUGUCACAGCACACCGUAACAAUACUGUUGCUCUUGGAGUUUGUGGCAGCCCCUAGUGGGGUUGGAAUUUUUAUGCUGUAAAAUUAGGCUUUUGAGAUCACCUGUAACUCUCAUUUCUCUUGCACAGUCUCUUUAUUCCAGCCAUCUUUAGCUGACAAUUCUACAAAAUUUGGCAGUGGUUGAGUGUUGCUCUUGGAUGCAGAAGGGAUUCUGGGGAGGCUUGUGAUCUGGAAAUUAGGGCAGGUACCAUGUCUCUGUGAGCCAAGGGCAUGGACCAGGAUUCCUGACUAGAACUAGAAGCUUCUGCUGGGGUUUAGUGAAGUCACAGGACUGAAUUUGGGAUAUAGUGCAAAAUAUUUUCAUUGCUGCCUGUCUUUGAACACACAUAUGGCUACCAAAGCAUUGGUCAGAAGUGGCUUCUCUGUGGUGCAGAUAUGUUGCACGAGGGAGGGGUUAGGUGGAAACAGCUAGGAGUUGUACUUCCUGAGGUAGGGGUGUAAGCAAAGGUGACAGAAUGGUCUGCUGAUCAAAUUUAUACAACUGAUAUGGAAUAGCUGCAGAGACUCCAGAGAUACAGAGUUUGGAUGCCUGUAUUUUCCUUUAAUUUCUUUCUCAAAGUUUUAAUUUGUGUUGUGUGUCAGGAAAUCUGCUUUGCACUGUGUAAUGGCUGUUCCUCCACCAGUACCAACUUUAACAUGGGUGAAUGCAUCAUGAAGGCAUGCAAAUAAUCCCUAAAAUUGUUUGCCAGCUUUAGGAUUAUAGUUCUUUUGAAGUACAUUUUAUUUCUGUGCUUCAGAACUUCUCUUCUGGAAGCAACAAACUCUUAAGUGUCUUUUUCCUGGAUUUCUGAGAGCUGAGUGAUGUUCAGCUAUAAUAAACUCUCGUAAAUGUAGUUUUGUAUUCAGCAAAUGGAAAAGCAAGUUAGUGGUUUACCAGAAUGUUAGGAGACAGUGUAUGUAUACAAAUGAGGUAUACGUAUACCUCAUCAUACACUGCUCCUGAAGUAGUAACUGAAGUUUCCAGAGCUGAGUAAAAGUUUUGUCAGUGAUGUUUCAUGUAUUACUCUGUGCAUCCAUUGUAAUGCUU
RNA transcript from Onychostruthus taczanowskii (white-rumped snowfinch), 4685 nucleotides. It is a transcript of the gene named integrator complex subunit 6, with no coding region annotated. The transcript is spliced from 19 exons. The record is from RefSeq and is a predicted model, not a curated record. Lineage: Eukaryota; Metazoa; Chordata; Aves; Passeriformes; Passeridae.